This 497-nucleotide ribosomal RNA is filed under the name uncultured bacterium. RNAcentral's name for it is "partial 16S ribosomal RNA". It matches the Rfam family "Bacterial small subunit ribosomal RNA", at positions 28 to 507 of the family's 1533-position model. The record is from RNAcentral.
GAUGAACGCUGGCGGCGUGCCUAAUACAUGCAAGUCGAGCGAACGGACGAGAAGCUUGCUUUUCUGAUGUUAGCGGCGGACGGGUGAGUAACACGUGGAUAACCUACCUAUAAGACUGGGAUAACUUCGGGAAACCGGAGCUAAUACCGGAUAAUAUUUUGAACCGCAUGGUUCAUAAGUGAAAGACGGUCUUGCUGUCACUUAUAGAUGGAUCCGCGCUGCAUUAGCUAGUUGGUAAGGUAACGGCUUACCAAGGCAACGAUGCAUAGCCGACCUGAGAGGGUGAUCGGCCACACUGGAACUGAGACACGGUCCAGACUCCUACGGGAGGCAGCAGUAGGGAAUCUUCCGCAAUGGGCGAAAGCCUGACGGAGCAACGCCGCGUGAGUGAUGAAGGUCUUCGGAUCGUAAAACUCUGUUAUUAGGGAAGAACAUAUGUGUAAGUAACUAUGCACAUCUUGACGGUACCUAAUCAGAAAGCCACGGCUAACUACGUG